Small nuclear RNA from Hippopotamus amphibius kiboko, 103 nucleotides. Lineage: Eukaryota; Metazoa; Chordata; Mammalia; Artiodactyla; Hippopotamidae. The record is from RefSeq and is a predicted model, not a curated record.
UUGCUUUGGCACCACACAUACUAAAAUUGAAAUGAUACAGAGAAUAUUAGCAUGGCCCCGGUGCAAGAAUGACAAGCAAAUUCAUGAAGCAUUUCAUAUUUUU